RNAcentral lists this ribosomal RNA (440 nucleotides) under uncultured bacterium. RNAcentral describes it as "partial 16S ribosomal RNA". It matches the Rfam family "Bacterial small subunit ribosomal RNA", at positions 338 to 795 of the family's 1533-position model. The record is from RNAcentral.
CCUACGGGUGGCAGCAGUGGGGAAUCUUGCACAAUGGGGGAAACCCUGAUGCAGCGACGCCGCGUGAGUGAAGGAGUAUUUCGGGAUGUAAAGCUCUAUCAGCAGGGAAGAAAAUGAAGGUGCCUGACUAAGAAGCCCCGGCUAACUCCGUGCCAGCAGCCGCGGUAAUACGUAGGGGGCAAUCUUUAUCCGGAUUUACUGUGUGUAAAGGGAGCGUAGACGUCCAGACAAGUCAGAAGUGAAAGCCGAGGGCUCAACCCUGGGACUGCGUUUGAAACUGCCGGGCUGGAGUGCAGGAGAGGUAAGCGGAAGUCCUGGUGUAGCGGUGAAAUGCGUAGAUAUUAGGAGGAACACCAGUGGCGAAGGCGGCUUACUGGACUGUAACUGACGUUGAGGCUCGAAAGCGUGGGGAGCAAACAGGAUUAGAUACCCGAGUAGUC